This is a long non-coding RNA of Triticum dicoccoides, 1729 nucleotides long. RefSeq lists it as uncharacterized. The transcript has 4 exons. Lineage: Eukaryota; Viridiplantae; Streptophyta; Magnoliopsida; Poales; Poaceae. The record is from RefSeq and is a predicted model, not a curated record.
CUUUUAUCUUGACAUUUUUUUUAUGUAUCUACUAAAGAUAAGGGAGAACCUUUUAUCUUGACUGAAUCGUUGUUUGAGAGAAAACAGAAAGACGAAGGCGAUGAAGAGGAUACAUGAGCGGUCAAGUCAGCGUGAGGUGGAGAAGAUGUGGUGUUUCUGUCGGUGGCGCUGGACCAGCAACAUCAGACAGUGGACUACGGGGAGCUGCCGUGGGUGGUGGCUACAGUUUCCACGAGAGUGGGGUGAGGGUGGCACAUGUGGGGGCGACGACAGCAAGUGGAUCCGCACCGCUGAGGUGCACAACCACUCCGAGAAGAGGAGUGGGAUCGGCGAGAAGAUUGAAGGUGUUGCGGACCCUGUACUCAAUUCCAACAAGAUUAACAAGGCAUCUAUGCUUGACGAGGCCAUUGAGUAUGAGAAGCAGCUAUAUCUCGAAGUACAAGUUAGUAAGCAUGCCUGGAUGCAUGGUUGGAGGAUGAGCUUAGAUUGAGGGAGAUGGUGGUCUCAUCGAGGACGUAUGCAUGUAAGAUCUCUAUGACUAGGGCCCAAUGCUCAGUUAAUUUCUGAGUGAUGGAGUUCGUCGAAUAAAUGUGAACCACAUCAUAUGAAUGGGUGUUAUUCUAGCUUUAGUCGAUGCACAUUGUUCAGUUCAUAUAUGAUUCCAACGGCUUUACUUCCAUAUCACAGGUUUUCCCAAACCAAAUAUUAGUAAUGCCACAUGUAUACGAUUAGUGUCUAUUCAUUUGUUUUGUUUCCACUUCCAUUUUAUUGCCUGCAAGCAACAUUGACCUCAUACAUCUACUACUCAUUGCCUUUGCUAUACGGAUUUAUAUAAAAAACGAAAUUUAGCUUGCCAUGUAUGUGAACACUUCUGUUACAAGGGCUCUCCAGGCUUAUGAUCUUUCCAGGAUAAUUGAUUGUUGAAUCUGAAGGUAUAUAAUCAGUUUGUUAACUCAUGUAUCUUUAUGCAUUUUUGUUCAUCCUCAAAAUAUUGUUGCUUACUUUCCUUGUCCUACAUUUUUUAGGUUGCUGAGGAGGUUCAGUUCUUGUAGGCUGGGUAAAACUUGAGUUGCCUACAAAUGAUUUUGCCCGUUUGUUGAAGAUUUUUCUGGGCUUGUGCAUGGCGAGCCCGAUGGGCUGCUUAUGAGCAGUUUGCACUGUAUGAACUUUGUAUGAGAGGCUAAGAUAGGCAUGGUGACAUGGAUCAUGGUACUUGGUUUUGCUAGAUUUCAUGUGUCUAUCCAUCUAUACUAUCUCCAACAAUGCAUAUUUUUCCCAUGUAUCUCUCAUUCUUCCAUGUAGCUAGAGACUUAGAAUAACCAACGGAACUUUCUCAAUUUUGUGUUUUCGCUCUUCUCAGAUUUUAGGCUGGGUGUAUAGAGAUGUGCGGCACACACUGAAUUUAGAUUUCACUUGGAAUAUAUCAUUGUGCCAUGUUCAAAAUUAGAACUACAUAGAAGAAUGAAAUUUUGUGAUUGGGCUGCUGUUGUGUUUCUUUUUAAAUAAAUGGCAUGCUAACUUGCUGGUUUAAUUUAGGUGUGUAAGAUAGUGUCUCCUCUCCGUUGCAACAAUCAACUUUCUCAGGUUUGUCCAGUGGUUUGAUGCAGCUGAACCAUAGAAGCAACCAAUAGCUAUUCUGAAUAAUUAUGACUGUUCUCAGCUAAACCACACCUGUACUAGCUAAACCAAGGAAGCAACUUAUGAUCAAACCUGACAAUGGUUAGCAUGA